This 490-nucleotide ribosomal RNA is filed under the name uncultured bacterium. RNAcentral's name for it is "partial 16S ribosomal RNA". It matches the Rfam family "Bacterial small subunit ribosomal RNA", at positions 29 to 507 of the family's 1533-position model. The record is from RNAcentral.
GUGAACGCUGGCGGUAGGCCUAACACAUGCAAGUCGAACGGCAGCACAGUAAGAGCUUGCUCUUACGGGUGGCGAGUGGCGGACGGGUGAGGAAUACAUCGGAAUCUACUUUUUCGUGGGGGAUAACGUAGGGAAACUUACGCUAAUACCGCAUACGACCUACGGGUGAAAGCAGGGGAUCUUCGGACCUUGCGCGAUUGAAUGAGCCGAUGUCGGAUUAGCUAGUUGGCGGGGUAAAGGCCCACCAAGGCGACGAUCCGUAGCUGGUCUAGAGGAUGAUCAGCCACACUGGAACUGAGACACGGUCCAGACUCCUACGGGAGGCAGCAGUGGGGAAUAUUGGACAAUGGGCGCAAGCCUGAUCCAGCCAUACCGCGUGGGUGAAGAAGGCCUUCGGGUUGUAAAGCCCUUUUGUUGGGAAAGAAAAGCAGCAGGUUAAUACCCCGCUGUUCUGACGGUACCCAAAGAAUAAGCACCGGCUAACUUCGUG